Molecule: non-coding RNA, 118 nt
Organism: Caloramator quimbayensis
Lineage: Bacteria; Bacillati; Bacillota; Clostridia; Eubacteriales; Clostridiaceae
Source: Rfam
AAUGUUAAGAAGAAGCCAUCCGCUUCUCACCUUACAGCUAUAGCUCGUAAGGUUUGCAAAGGUUCUUUUUUUAGAGAUUUUGCGGAUGGAGUAUGUCCAUCCGCUUUUUAUAUGCCUU